This 301-nucleotide ribosomal RNA is filed under the name uncultured bacterium. RNAcentral's name for it is "partial 16S ribosomal RNA". It matches the Rfam family "Bacterial small subunit ribosomal RNA", at positions 509 to 807 of the family's 1533-position model. The record is from RNAcentral.
CAGUAGCCGCGGGAAUACGUAGGUGGCAAGCGUUGUCCGGAAUUAUUGGGCGUAAAGGGCUCGCAGGCGGUUUCUUAAGUCUGAUGUGAAAGCCCCCGGCUCAACCGGGGAGGGUCAUUGGAAACUGGGAAACUUGAGUGCAGAAGAGGAGAGUGGAAUUCCACGUGUAGCGGUGAAAUGCGUAGAGAUGUGGAGGAACACCAGUGGCGAAGGCGACUCUCUGGUCUGUAACUGACGCUGAGGAGCGAAAGCGUGGGGAGCGAACAGGAUUAGAUACCCGAGUAGUCCCUGUCUCUUAUAC